Molecule: ribosomal RNA, 497 nt
Filed under: uncultured bacterium
Lineage: Bacteria
Description: partial 16S ribosomal RNA
Rfam family: Bacterial small subunit ribosomal RNA
Source: RNAcentral
GAUGAACGCUGGCGGCGUGCCUAAUACAUGCAAGUCGAGCGAACGGACGAGAAGCUUGCUUUUCUGAUGUUAGCGGCGGACGGGUGAGUAACACGUGGAUAACCUACCUAUAAGACUGGGAUAACUUCGGGAAACCGGAGCUAAUACCGGAUAAUAUUUUGAACCGCAUGGUUCAAAAGUGAAAGACGUUCUUGCUGUCACUAAUAGAUGGAUCCGCGCUGCAUUAGCUAGUUGGUAAGGUAACGGCUUACCAAGGCAACGAUGCAUAGCCGACCUGAGAGGGUGAUCGGCCACACUGGAACUGAGACACGGUCCAGACUCCUACGGGAGGCAGCAGUAGGGAAUCUUCCGCAAUGGGCGAAAGCCUGACGGAGCAACGCCGCGUGAGUGAUGAAGGUCUUCGGAUCGUAAAACUCUGUUAUUAGGGAAGAACAUAUGUGUAAGUAACUGUGCACAUCUUGACGGUACCUAAUCAGAAAGCCACGGCUAACUACGUG